CCGGAAGACCCUAUUUUCAGGUUCUCUUCCCUCCAUUCCUACCCCUUCCCCGGUACCAUAAAAUCCUGGGAUAUGAGCCGGAAGAGGCAUCAUCUGAUCCCGGAGACCCUUGGAGUUAAGAGGCGGCGGAAGCGAGGGCCUGUGGAGUCGGAUCCUCUUCGGGGUGAGCCAGGGUCGGCGCGCGCGGCUGUCUCAGAACUCAUGCAGCUGUUCCCGCGAGGCCUGUUUGAGGACGCGCUGCCGCCCAUCGUGCUGAGGAGCCAAGUGUACAGCCUCGUGCCUGACAGGACCGUGGCCGACCGGCAGCUGAAGGAGCUUCAAGAGCAGGGGGAGAUCAGAAUCGUCCAGCUGGGCUUCGACUUGGAUGCCCAUGGAAUUAUCUUCACUGAGGACUACAAGACCAGAGUCCUCAAAGCCUGUGAUGGCCGACCGUAUGCUGGGGCAGUGCAGAAAUUUCUAGCUUCAGUACUUCCAGCCUGUGGGGACCUUAGUUUCCAGCAGGACCAAAUGACACAGACCUUUGGCUUCAGGGACUCAGAAAUCACGUGAGACUUGUGGAACCAACAAAGUCAGGCAUCUGGUGCUUCCCUGCCUCCCUCCAGUUCCAUCCAGCCUGUCCUUCUGUGUUUUUGGUGAACCUGCCAGAAAAGCUGCCAAAAAGCUGACUCUUCUUUUUAAUGAAAUGACCCAAGUUUGUAUUCCUCCCCACAAGAGAGGAGGCCUGUCUUACCUGGGGCCUUAGAAAGAGUCCUGGAAUAGAAUUCAGUUCUUGGUGGCUUAUCAAAAGCACACAGGGACCUGGCAGGAACUGUAAAAGCUUGAUGUUAAUCAUACUGGGACUAAGAGGAUAGAGAAUGUUAGGAGCUGGGAUACCCCUAAACAUUUACAUUAAAACAAAAAAACCCCAAAGCUAAAAAACAACUGGGCAGGAGCUAAAUAAAAAUCUAAUUUUGAGAGGCUGUAUCUGGCUCAGGCCUCCUACUUUGUAACCCAUGGAAUAUGUGAAAGCAUUUGAAAAACUGUAGCACUGUCUCACAUGGGCAGACACACUCUCAGAGAGAUGUGGUGGGAGCCAUGGCGCGGUCUGCCUAGGCAGUGGCAGGAGCGCAGAAGACCCUGAUUCCUCUCCUUGGUCCUAAGACUGAAUGUGUGUCAGGACACGUGGUCAGGGAAGAGAAGCUAUUUAAAUGAACCAGUAAUAGUAGCAGGACAAGAAAGAGUGGAGGGAGGGCAGUCCAGGUAGGGGGCCUGGAACAAGCAACUGCACCAACAGAGGCAGUUGGUGCGAGCACAGAACCACCCCAGGUUGGGGUUUUGUUAUCCAGUCUCUCUUGCGUGGUUGCCCAUGUUUCUGGAGACUUGUGUAAGCAUUAAUGGAUGAGAAGGAGAGAUGGUUCUCAGAGCCCAGGCCUCAUCUCUGCUGGCUUCCCACUGCCCUCAGGCAUCUGGUGAACGCUGGAGUCCUCACCGUCCGAGAUGCUGGGAGCUGGUGGCUAGCUGUGCCUGGAGCUGGGAGAUUCAUCAAAUACUUUGUUAAAGGGCGCCAGGCUGUCCUUGGCAUGGUCCGGAAGGCAAAGUACCGGGAGCUGCUCCUAUCAGAGCUCCUGGGCCGGCGGGCGCCUGUCGUGGUGCGGCUUGGCCUCACCUACCAUGUGCACGACCUCAUUGGGGCCCAGCUCGUGGACUGCAUCUCUACCACUUCGGGAACCCUCCUCCGCCUGCCAGAGACAUGAAGAUUCUGCUCAUCAUUGCUCAGCUCCUCAGAGUGGGCCGGGAGGGGACUAGAAGAGCUGCAUGAUGGUGGCUGAGACAGGGUCACCUUGGGAAGGCUUGGGAGCCAGGAUGAGUGUUGGGCUCUCGUGUGUGCAAAAGGUCAGAUGUGACUGCUGCUGU
This 1893-nucleotide small RNA is filed under the name Pongo abelii (Sumatran orangutan). RNAcentral describes it as "retained intron". The record is from RNAcentral. Lineage: Eukaryota; Metazoa; Chordata; Mammalia; Primates; Hominidae.